CAAAUGGCGGCAGGCCUAACCAUGCAAGUCGGACGGUAGCACAGAGGAGCUUGCUCCUUGGGUGACGAGUGGCGGACGGGUGAGUAGUGUCGGGGGAUCUGCCCGAUAGAGGGGGAUAACCACUGGAAACGGUGGCUAAUACCGCAUAACGUCGCAAGACCAAAGAGGGGGACCUUCGGGCCUCUCACUAUCGGAUGAACCCAGAUGGGAUUAGCUAGUACGCGGGGUAGUGCCCCCCCUACGCCACUAUCCCUAUCUGGUCUGAGAGGAUGACCACCCACACUGGAACUGACACACGGUCCACACUCCUACGGGAGGCAGCAGUGGGGAAUAUUGCACAGUGGGCGCAAGCCUGAUGCACCCAUGCCGCGUGUAUGAAAAAGGCCUUCGGGUUGUAAAGUAUUUUCAGCGGGGAAGAAGGCGACGGGGUUAAUAACCGUCUCUAUUGACUUUACCCGCAAAAAAAGCACCGGCUAACUCCGUGCCAGCACCCGCGGUAAUACAGAGGGUGCAAGCGUUAAUCAGAAUUACUGGGCGUAAAGCGCACGCACGCGGUCUGUUAACUCAUAUGUGAAAUCCCCGGGCUUAACCUGGGAACUGCUUUUGAAACUGGCACGCUUGACUCUUGUAGAGGGGGGUAAAAUUCCGUGUGUAGCGGUGAAAUGCGUAGAGAUCUGGAAGAAUACCGGUGGCGAACGCGGCCCCCUGGACAAAGACUGACUCUCAUGUGCGAAAGCGUGGGGAGCAAACAAGAUUAUAUACUGUGGUACUCCACGCCAUACACUAUGUCCACUUGGAUGUUGUUCCCUUGAAGAGUGGCUUCCAGAGCUAACGCGUUAACUCCACCGCGUGGAGAGUACGCCCGCAGGGUUAAAACUCAUAUGAUUUGACGGGGGCCCGCACAAGCGGUGGAGCGUGUGGUUUAUUUUCUAUGCACGCGAAAUCUUACC
Molecule: ribosomal RNA, 950 nt
Filed under: Pantoea agglomerans
Lineage: Bacteria; Pseudomonadati; Pseudomonadota; Gammaproteobacteria; Enterobacterales; Erwiniaceae
Description: bacterial SSU rRNA
Rfam family: Bacterial small subunit ribosomal RNA
Source: RNAcentral